This 469-nucleotide ribosomal RNA is filed under the name uncultured bacterium. RNAcentral describes it as "bacterial SSU rRNA". It matches the Rfam family "Bacterial small subunit ribosomal RNA", at positions 331 to 792 of the family's 1533-position model. The record is from RNAcentral.
CCAGACUCCUACGGGAGGCAGCAGUGGGGAAUAUUGCACAAUGGGCGCAAGCCUGAUGCAGCCAUGCCGCGUGUAUGAAGAAGGCCUUCGGGUUGUAAAGUACUUUCAGUCGGGAGGAAGGUGUCAAGGUUAAUAACCUUGGCAAUUGACGUUACCGACAGAAGAAGCACCGGCUAACUCCGUGCCAGCAGCCGCGGUAAUACGGAGGGUGCAAGCGUUAAUCGGAAUUACUGGGCGUAAAGCGCACGCAGGCGGUCUGUCAAGUCGGAUGUGAAAUCCCCGGGCUCAACCUGGGAACUGCAUUCGAAACUGGCAGGCUAGAGUCUUGUAGAGGGGGGUAGAAUUCCAUGUGUAGCGGUGAAAUGCGUAGAGAUGUGGAGGAAUGCCGGUGGCGAAGGCGGCCCCCUGGACAAAGACUGACGCUCAGGUGCGAAAGCGUGGGGAGCAAACAGGAUUAGAUACCCCAGUA